GACGAACGCUGGCGGCGUGCCUAAUACAUGCAAGUAGAACGCUGAAGGAGGAGCUUGCUUCUCUGGAUGAGUUGCGAACGGGUGAGUAACGCGUAGGUAACCUGCCUGGUGGCGGGGGAUAACUAUUGGAAACGAUAGCUAAUACCGCAUAAUAGCAGUUAUUGCAUGAUAACUGUUUGAAAGGUGCAAUUGCACCACUACCAGAUGGACCUGCGUUGUAUUAGCUAGUUGGUGGGGUAACGGCUCACCAAGGCGACGAUACAUAGCCGACCUGAGAGGGUGAUCGGCCACACUGGGACUGAGACACGGCCCAGACUCCUACGGGAGGCAGCAGUAGGGAAUCUUCGGCAAUGGACGGAAGUCUGACCGAGCAACGCCGCGUGAGUGAAGAAGGUUUUCGGAUCGUAAAGCUCUGUUGUAAGAGAAGAACGAGUGUGAGAGUGGAAAGUUCACACUGUGACGGUAUCUUACCAGAAAGGGACGGCUAACUACGUG
Molecule: ribosomal RNA, 495 nt
Filed under: uncultured bacterium
Lineage: Bacteria
Description: partial 16S ribosomal RNA
Rfam family: Bacterial small subunit ribosomal RNA
Source: RNAcentral